This 404-nucleotide ribosomal RNA is filed under the name uncultured bacterium. RNAcentral's name for it is "partial 16S ribosomal RNA". It matches the Rfam family "Bacterial small subunit ribosomal RNA", at positions 28 to 526 of the family's 1533-position model. The record is from RNAcentral.
GACGAACGCUGGCGGCGUGCUUAACACAUGCAAGUCGAGCGGAGCGGCGGACGGGUGAGUAACGCGUGAGUAACUGCCCCCCCCUCUGGGAUGACAUAUGUAAACGGCUGCUUAUACCGUAUAGUGGUGGAUGACUCGCGUCCUAUGAGCUUCUUGGUGGGGUAGUGGCAUACCAAGGCGACGACGGGUCGUCGGCCUGAGAGGGCGACCAGCCACAAUGGGCUGAGAGACGGACCAGACGGCAACGGGGGGCAGCAGUGGGGAAUAUGGCGCAAUGGGGGAAACCCUGAUGCAGCAACGCGCGUGCGGGAUGAAGGCUUUGGGGUUGUAAACCGCUUUAAGCCAUGAAGCGGUAGUGGCAGAAGAAGCACCGGCUAACUACGUGCCAGCAGCCGCGGUAAUAC